This 253-nucleotide ribosomal RNA is filed under the name uncultured bacterium. Its description in RNAcentral is "partial 16S ribosomal RNA". It matches the Rfam family "Bacterial small subunit ribosomal RNA", at positions 524 to 776 of the family's 1533-position model. The record is from RNAcentral.
UACGUAGGGUGCAAGCGUUGUCCGGAAUUAUUGGGCGUAAAGAGCUCGUAGGCGGUUUGUCGCGUCUGCUGUGAAAACUCGGGGCUUAACCCCGGGCCUGCAGUGGGUACGGGCAGACUAGAGUGCGGUAGGGGAGACUGGAAUUCCUGGUGUAGCGGUGAAAUGCGCAGAUAUCAGGAGGAACACCGAUGGCGAAGGCAGGUCUCUGGGCCGAUACUGACGCUGAGGAGCGAAAGCAUGGGUAGCGAACAGG